Molecule: unclassified non-coding RNA, 427 nt
Filed under: soil metagenome
Description: partial contains 5.8S ribosomal RNA, internal transcribed spacer 2, and large subunit ribosomal RNA
Rfam family: 5.8S ribosomal RNA (bases 1-120)
Source: RNAcentral
GAUGAAGAACGUAGCGAAACGCGAUAGUUAAUGUGAAUUGCAGAAUUCAGUGAAUCAUCGAGUCUUUGAACGCACAUUGCGCCUUUUGGUAUUCCGAAAGGCACGUCUGUUCGAGCGUCAGUAAAAACCCUUCCGGACCGGUGGUGUUUUUUCGUAAAAAGGAAAAACCUGCCUGGCCUCGGGACCCUGGCGUGGGGAAGUGGAACCCGGUCUCCGGCCUGGUUUUUUUCCCCCGCUUAAACGCGGAGAAAAGCUAGCGGGCAUUCGGCCUCACACAUUGCGACAACUCGUAAAAAUUUUCUUAUAAGUUGUAACCGCUCACAGUGGAACCUGCCCCGCCUCUUGCAAAAUUUUUUUUACUUUGAACCCUUGACCUCGGAUCAGAUGAGGAUACCCGCUGAACUUAAGCAUAUCAAUAAGCGGAGGA